RNAcentral lists this unclassified non-coding RNA (245 nucleotides) under fungal sp. RNAcentral describes it as "partial internal transcribed spacer region". The stretch from base 1 to 46 matches the Rfam family "Eukaryotic small subunit ribosomal RNA", at positions 1786 to 1831 of the family's 1831-position model. Lineage: Eukaryota; Fungi. The record is from RNAcentral.
AAGUCGUAACAAGGUUUCCGUAGGUGAACCUGCGGAAGGAUCAUUAACACGUAUCCAAACGUUAAAACCCCCCGUCAUUGAUUGUGCAAGGAUAGCGCUUCUACGAUUCCUGUAGACCGUACACUCGGGCAGGAGCUUUGCCAAAGGGUCGCCAUGCCCCCUAAUAACCCCACAGUUUAAUGUGACGCUCAAUGUAAUACAUUGGGUAAAAAAACCAACUGUUAACAAUGGAUAUCUUGGUUCUC